This 253-nucleotide ribosomal RNA is filed under the name uncultured bacterium. Its description in RNAcentral is "partial 16S ribosomal RNA". It matches the Rfam family "Bacterial small subunit ribosomal RNA", at positions 524 to 776 of the family's 1533-position model. The record is from RNAcentral.
UACGUAGGGUGCGAGCGUUGUCCGGAAUUAUUGGGUGUAAAGAGCUCGUAGGCGGCUUGUCGCGUCGGAUGUGAAAGCCCGGGGCUUAACUCCGGGUCUGCAUUCGAUACGGGCAGGCUAGAGUUCGGUAGGGGAGAUCGGAAUUCCUGGUGUAGCGGUGAAAUGCGCAGAUAUCAGGAGGAACACCGGUGGCGAAGGCGGAUCUCUGGGCCGAUACUGACGCUGAGGAGCGAAAGCGUGGGGAGCGAACAGG